Mastomys coucha (southern multimammate mouse) is the source of this 646-nucleotide long non-coding RNA. RefSeq lists it as uncharacterized. The record is from RefSeq and is a predicted model, not a curated record. The transcript has 4 exons. Lineage: Eukaryota; Metazoa; Chordata; Mammalia; Rodentia; Muridae.
CAGACUCCAUCAUUCACACCAAGCUGGACGAAGCUCAGCCCUGCGUGUCUGUUAGCUCUGUAUUGAACAUGGGGACACUGAUGGCGUAGAUAUGCAUUUCGCCCAUGAAGCAUGCUUCUCUUAGUCAUGAGCUCAGCAAAGCAUUGCUAUGUCUGUGUAAGGUAAAAAGCAGGCAUCAGCCCCAAGUCCUUGGCUCAGCCAUAUUCUUCUGCUGGCACUCACGUCUCACCAGAAAUCCUGAGUUGAUCCCUUGGGCCAGGGACAUCCUUCUCCAUCACAGGAAGGGGUUCCUCAUGAAAUGCCAGGAUCCUCCCCGGGUAUGGAGAGAAGAUAGAGAGCUUCAGUUACAGGUGUUCAUAAGCCACCUCACGUGGGCACUGGCAGUGGAACUCAGGGCCUCAGCCAGAGCAGUCUGUGCUCUUAACCUCUGAGCCAUCUCUCCAGCCCAAGGCUGUAUCUUCAGGAGGAAAAACGUCACCAUUUCUGCUGGCCAGGUCUGCAUCUUCUGCGAGGGAGGGCGCUGCUUUUGUUCCCGAGGUGGCUGCAGGAAGGAGCAAAUUCAGGAAAAGUCUCCAGCCAAACUCUUCAUUUUGGCCAACAGAUCGACUGCAUUACCACGCCUGCCCCACCCCUGCCCCACCCCUAC